RNAcentral lists this RNase P RNA (440 nucleotides) under Rubrivivax sp. RNAcentral's name for it is "RNase P RNA component class A". It matches the Rfam family "Bacterial RNase P class A". From Rfam's summary of the family: Ribonuclease P (RNase P) is a ubiquitous endoribonuclease, found in archaea, bacteria and eukarya as well as chloroplasts and mitochondria. The record is from RNAcentral. Lineage: Bacteria; Pseudomonadati; Pseudomonadota; Betaproteobacteria; Burkholderiales; Sphaerotilaceae.
GAAGCAGGCCAGACCGCCGCUGGCACGAUCGUGGAAACACGGUGCUGGAGGAAGGUCCGGACUGCACAGGGCAGCGCAGGAGCUAACGGCUCUCCACCGCGAGGUGAGGAUCAGAGCAACAGAGACGAGUCUGCCCAGGGCCUUCCCGAGUGUGGGGUGCUCUGCGACGUGACGGCGCAAGCCGGCACGCAUCCGGCGUCAGCCGGAUGCCCGAGGCGCAAGCCGAGGAGAGCAGCCACCCUCCCCGGGGCCAGGCCCCGGGGAGGGUGAAACGGGCAAUCUCUGCGCGCAGCAACACCAAGUAGGCACACGUCGACGCGGCCCGCGGAGUGUGCGGGUAGGUGGCACCGAGCCGUGGUGGCGACACCCGGCCCAGAGGAAUGGCGGUCACGCCGGGGAAACCCGGUGCACAGAAUCCGGCCUAUCGGUCUGCUUCACAA